ACAGGAAGUCCCGCCCUUCACCGGAAAAGAUGGAGGCUGGACUCAGAUGGAGGCCAGAGUUGCCUUCCUGAUGAUUCUCAUUCCUUUUGAGCAGAAUGAAAUCUUUGCCACACCAUCUAUCUUGAAGUGCCAACACCCAAGAAAAUGAGAUGCAAUGGAUUACAAUUGAAACUGUAACAAUGAGG
Hyaena hyaena (striped hyena) is the source of this 185-nucleotide long non-coding RNA. RefSeq lists it as uncharacterized. The record is from RefSeq and is a predicted model, not a curated record. The transcript is spliced from 3 exons. Lineage: Eukaryota; Metazoa; Chordata; Mammalia; Carnivora; Hyaenidae.